Mycena galopus ATCC 62051 is the source of this 80-nucleotide non-coding RNA. The record is from the annotation of a GenBank genome assembly. Lineage: Eukaryota; Fungi; Basidiomycota; Agaricomycetes; Agaricales; Mycenaceae.
GGUUGUGUAGUGUAGUGGUUAUCACUCGAGAUUUUGAAAUUAAACUUCUCGUAACCCCGGUUCGAACCCGGGCACGACCU